This 462-nucleotide ribosomal RNA is filed under the name uncultured bacterium. RNAcentral's name for it is "partial 16S ribosomal RNA". It matches the Rfam family "Bacterial small subunit ribosomal RNA", at positions 28 to 507 of the family's 1533-position model. The record is from RNAcentral.
GAUGAACGCUGACAGAAUGCUUAACACAUGCAAGUCUUUGGCGAAGCUGUGCUUUCACCGCCUAGCCAAGGCGGAUGGGUGGGUAAAGCGUAAGGAACUUGCCCUGCAGUCAGGGAUAACAGCCGGAAACGACUGAUAAGACCUGGUAAAGUCAGGCGGACUCAUGUCCAGCCUGAUGAAAAGAGCUGCUGCAGGAGAGCCUUGCGUCCUAUUAGCUUGUUGGUGGGGUAACGGCUCACCAAGGCGAUGAUAGGUAGCCGGCCUGAGAGGGUGGACGGCCACAAGGGGACGGAGAGACGGCCCGGACUCCAACGGGAGGCAGCAGUGGGGAAGAUUGGACAAUGGGGGCAAUCCUGAGCCAGCAAUUCUGUGGGCACGAUGAAGGUGUUCGGAUUGUAAAGUGCUAGCAGCAGGGAAGAAAAAAUGACGGUACCUGCAGAAGAAGCGACGGCUAAAUACGUG